RNAcentral lists this unclassified non-coding RNA (1179 nucleotides) under Hevea brasiliensis (rubber tree). Lineage: Eukaryota; Viridiplantae; Streptophyta; Magnoliopsida; Malpighiales; Euphorbiaceae. The record is from RNAcentral.
GCUAAUAGUUAACCACUCCUCUCUUGAAAUCAAACUAAAAAUACUAGUGCUUUCUUUUAUUGAUGAUAUUGCAAGAAGAAAUUUUGUAUCAUGGAGGAGAAUAAGAGUUAUUGUGUAACAGGAGGAACAGGCUUCAUUGGCUCAUGGCUCAUUAAAUCACUUCUUCAAAUGGGCUACAAAGUCCAUGCUGCUGUGCGCCAUCCUGAGAAGUCAUCACAUCUAUUGAAGUUGGCUGAGGGCAGUGAGAUGCUAAGAUUAUUCAAAGCUGAUUUAAGAGAAGAAGGAAGCUUUGAUGAAGCAAUGAGAGGUUGCAUUGGCCUAUUUCAUGUUGCUGCACCCAUGGAAUUCUGUCCACCAGCCACAGAAAACGUUGAGAGGUAUGUCGAAGAAAAUAUGAUAGAGCCAGCCAUCGAAGGGACCUUGAAUGUUCUGAAAUCGUGCUUGAAAUCCAAUUCUGUUAAAAAAGUUGUAUUCACAUCAUCAAUCAGUACCAUCACAGCCAGAGACAACUUUGGGAGAUGGAGACCUUUUGUCGAUGAAUCUUGCAAAGUACCUAUCCAACAUGUUAAGCACACAAAACCAACUGGUUGGGUUUAUGUACUACUAAAGGUUUUGACAGAGGAUGCAGCAUUUCAGUUUGCAAAAGAAAAUGGCAUUAAUUUGGUUUCAACGAUAACACCAACUAUAGCUGGUCCAUUCCUCACUCCUACAGUUCCAUCAAGCAUUCAAGUUCUCUUGUCACCAAUAACAGAUGAUCCUGAUAUGUUAGCUAUACUCACCGCUGUAAACACAAGAAUGGGAUCAAUAGCAUUAGCUCAUAUAGAGGAUAUAUGUCGCGCCCACAUAUUCCUCAUGGAGAAUAUUAAAGCACAAGGACGAUAUAUAUGUUGUGCUCAGAGUUGGGCAUUGUCUGAAGUUAUCGAUCACCUUAAAAACGAGUAUCCUUACCUUGAUGCAGAGAGGCGCGGAGGACAUGAUUCAGUGAUCCCCUCGGAGAUUUCAUCAAAGAAAUUGAGAGGACUCGGAUUUUCUUUCAAGUAUGAAAUCAACGAUAUCAUAAGAGAUACAAUUACUAGUUGUAUACAUCAUGGAUUCUUAGCCUCAAUUCAAAAGUAAGAAUUGCAAAUUACAUGUACCAAAACCUUAACUCUUACUUUGAUGUAUCAGUAUACUCCUUUU